UGAGAAUUAGAACCUAACAGUUGUUAGGGUGAUGUUGCUUUUAAGCUUCUGCAUAUUUAGUUUUGGUUUUGUUUAUUUGUGUGUGUAUAGUUUAAAGUAACUCUGAAAAGUCAACAAGUUUAUUUGAUCAAUUAAUCACAUGAGUUCUCAUAUUUGAAAUAGCUGUGCUGUAGUUACCUAUAUUUUCAGGAAGUUUAAUGUAGGGUGGACCACAUGGACAGCUCCUUAGUGGUCAAUGAAAAUAAGGACAUUUUCUUCAGCGUCACUAAUGAUCUGUCACAACAUCAGACGUGAGUCUCCAUAUCCUCCUCUGUAGGUUUUUCUGUGUCCUACCAAGCACACAUCAGUUUUCUCACAUGACAAUCUUUGUGUGGAGUUCACUUCACUGACGGAAGAACGUGGAAAAUAUGUCUUUGUCUUAUAUUCUUCUCAUUUAUGUUGCCGGAGUUGCGGUAAAAGAAAGUUGUGCAGAUUCGGUUCCCACUCCCACUAUUGUAUUUUCCCCUGAUUACAUCAAUGUAGCUACACCUGUUACAGUACGCUGUGAGUCACCAGAAGGCACAGAGUGCAUUUUCUACAGAGAUCACGACCCCAAACCUAUAAGAACAGUGGAUUACAAGCAGGGUGCUUGCCAGUUCAAGUUGUUAUGGAAUGAGUUCAAAAAGUGGAACAAGACUGAAGUAGAUCUCAGCUGUGUAAUUCUACAGAACAGAGAAGAUAAAACGAUCAAAACCUCAAAACCUAGUGAUGCUCGAAGACUUAAUGUGGGUGAUCCAAUUGGAAUGCCCAGUGUUCAUGUGGAGAAGAUCGGGAAUUACCUCAAUCUUCGAUGUGAGUGCAAGGCUGGCACCUCAUGCUACUUUUAUCUGAACAAUGGUGACUCACACUUCAAAAAACUACCCUACAAAGACAAUGUCUGUGUGGGGAGAGUGGCAGAAGAGGAACUGCAGAGGAAGAGGAGCAGUGCUGGAGAGAUCUUCAUCACCUGUGCUGUGGAGCUGUUGGUAGAGGGUGAAGAUACUGUGACAUCACAGCGUAGUGAAUCCCUCGGUAUCACCAUAGAUGUUGUAAAUCCUCCAGGAGCUACUAGUUCCCCAUCAGCGUUCAGUUUAAUCAUAACUGGUCAGGAGGAGACAAGCAGCAAUGUCACAGCCCAAGGAAGAGUUUCUUCAGGUCCAGUGUUCCUCGUCAUCAUCAGUCUGGGUGCUGGUUCCCUUUUCCUGGUUCUGCUAGCUGGGUCUGUGCUGUGUGUUCUCCAACGCAAUUGUGGGGUUCAAUGCAGGCCUGUAAAUACUGGAAGCCCACCUGAGCAGCAAGACCAAACCCCACCUUGUGUCUAUUCUGUCAUCACAAAGCCGUCUAGGGAUGAGGAAGAGGACAGUAGUCUGCAAUACGCUACUGUGACAUCUACCAGUGACCAAGCUAGUCUUCAAUAUGCAACAGUGACAUCUACCGGUGGCAGGUUUGGGACCUUCAAAGAACUCCUAACCAUGAUCCAAUGAAUGUGCUGCUGGUGCCUUAUGUGGGACAAGGAGAAUCAGACAAACACUUGGAUUACCCAGGAGAAGAAGCACCAGAUCUCAGUAAGCCUGAAGUUUGUGACCCUGACUGAAGUGGUUGAGCUGAGCUGCGAGUCCUCUGCCCUUGUAGAGGGUCAGCAGUGAUUGUUCUAUGUGGAUUCUAAACUCAAGGAGCUUGGUCGCUCAAAUGCCAGCCACAACCAAUGCUCCCUCCCAGUUAAGGGGUCAGAGCUGCUUGGGUGGAAGCCAGAGGGCUGUGGUCAAAAGUCACCAUCCAGUGUCAUUACGAAAAGGACUCACCUCCCAGCAAAAAUGUCACAGUGGUGGUGUGGAACACAAACAUGCUGACUAAGUACAUCAUCGGAUGUAUGGCCCUGAUAGGAUUCAUGAUUCUACCUGCAGUAUUCAUAUUCUACAUCACCUGUCUCCUCUCACUGAAAGCAAAGAGGAACGGACACCUCGUCAUAACAAGAUCGCCCAGUGACCAGACAUUGCCAGGAGACACUACCGUAACAAGAAGGUGAAGAUGAUUGGUGCUAUGCCACCGUGUCCCAUGCUGGUGCUCCUCCAUCCUACUGAGUCAAGUUUGAGCAAGGCCAUGACUAUGCCAC
This 2131-nucleotide long non-coding RNA is filed under the name Salmo salar (Atlantic salmon). Its description in RNAcentral is "lncRNA (ENSSSAG00000086898.1, ENSSSAG00000097853.1)". Lineage: Eukaryota; Metazoa; Chordata; Actinopteri; Salmoniformes; Salmonidae. The record is from RNAcentral.